UAUCCAGUGAGCUUCUUGUUGUACGAUA
This 28-nucleotide small RNA is filed under the name Bombyx mori (domestic silkworm). RNAcentral describes it as "ovarian small RNA-23573". The record is from RNAcentral. Lineage: Eukaryota; Metazoa; Arthropoda; Insecta; Lepidoptera; Bombycidae.